CAGUUCAAAUCCAUCUUUCGAGGAAUGCAGUAUAAAAACGUGGUUAAGGGUGUGGACAAACCCAUACUCAUUCCAGCCGCUCUCAACUAGUCCCUCUGUAACUCGUCUUCUCUUCGUCUUUGUUUCGCCCCAGAAUACCAUCCUCACCACCUUUACUCAAAACAUGAGAGAAAAGACCAUAGCCAAGCCCCUGCCUUAAAAAAUCUGUGGCGUCCAUGUUCUUAUGGGGCCAUUUCCUUCAUACCUCUCUCGCUCGGUUCCGGUCUAUGUCUUUGGGUUCAAUGAGAUGGAAAAGAAGGGAGUGGGACUGGAUGUAAUCAGGUUUGAUAUGAAUACGAUUGUUCAAUUCACCUUGGAUGAUGUUUUGGAUAAAAAUUGGGGAGAAAGAAGCAAAAUCUCGGCAUCGAGAAUGGAGGGAGGCUCGGGCAUCGUUGCUGCUGCAACAGGCCGCAGUUGCCUACAUUGGCCUUCUCUCCAUCUCGGUUCAUGCUGGAUUCCGCCUUGUUGGAGCCAACGACUGCGCUUUCCGUCGCCAGCGUCCUCAUUGCAGGUGAGGGCUUGGCAAUCCAGUAGGACACACUAGAGCUGGCCACUCGCCAGGUGGAAAUCCAUACUGCGUGGCGGAAGAAACAGGAGAGGAAGAGGAAAUGCUGAAGAAGAGGGAGCUGAGGGAAGCAAAUCUGGAAUGCAUGGCUCAUCACUUUCUGAUGCUGCAGCACAGCUUGGUGGCCUACAUUGGGCUCCUUUCAAUCUCUGAGCCUUCGGACGAAAAGGUAUGCGUCAAGGACUGAAGGAGGAGGACUUUUGAUUGCCUUUCAUCUGUGUCCGAUAUUGCUUGAUAAAUCCAGAAAUUCAACACUACAAUUCUUGUUUUAUUAGGUAUGCGUCAAGGACUGAAGGAGGAGGACUUUUGAUUGCCUUUCAUCUGUGUCCGAUAUUGCUUGAUAAAUCCAGAAAUUCAACACUACAAUUCUUGUUUUAUUAGGUAUGCGUCAAGGACUGAAGGAGGAGACUUUUGAUAGCUACCGGAGGAGAAAGUCAUGUGGAAUGCCUAAUAUCCAGUGUUUCUAGGUUAUUAAGUUUUCCUAUGUCUUCUGGGAGCUAUUUCUUUUCUCUCCUGCUCAAAUUUAAGUACUUCAAGUUAUAGCACUCGGUUAUGUCACGUGGCAAUUGAAAAUUGGGACACAUUCAAGAUCUAAGACCCUCAAUAGUUUCAAUCCAUUUUUCAAUUUUUGCAAUGCAGAAGAAUUAAUGGCAUCGUUUUGAUAGAAAACAAAGAAUGUGCGAACCUUUGACAUGUGGUUGUGCAUUGGUAAUACUUCAUGAUUUGCUUGUA
Molecule: long non-coding RNA, 1336 nt
Organism: Rosa chinensis
Lineage: Eukaryota; Viridiplantae; Streptophyta; Magnoliopsida; Rosales; Rosaceae
Exons: 3
Source: RefSeq, a predicted model, not a curated record